UCUAAAAUCUUUAUUAAAACUCGUUUGGUGAAUUAUAUUUUCUAAUCACUUGACUACCGAGUUUCUUUAAGGCAUGUAUUAUAUCGGAAUGUUAUGUCUAACAUUUGAUUUCAACUUGUAUUUGAGCACAACUAGUAUUUAUAGUAUAGAGAUUACAAGCAUUUAGGGUAACAACAAGUAACAGAAUUGGUAGUUAUGAUAACAACAAGGUCUUUGAAGAACAAAAGGUAAAUCAACCAUGAAUCAUUAUGGAUACUUUCGUAUACAUCUUUUAAUUUUUUGUGGGAACUAAUGGUCUAUUAUUGUUCUUCUUCCAUGUAUAUAUGUUAAAAUUAAAAUGCCUUUCUUUUGACCGGGGAAUAUGCCUUUCUUGGAGCAUAUGUUAUUUCAUUUUUCUUGGAGCAAAUGUUAUUUCAUUUUUUCUUGGAGCAUAUGCCUAUAUUCAUGCAAAUAUCAUUAAAAAAUAUAUGGAAGAUUCCUUAGUUUGUUGUGGAAAAUUGCAUGUGUUUUUAUAUUUUUGUAACUUUUGCAGCUGAAGAAAGUAGAUUUAGGUAUCAGUGCUCUAUAGAACCGAAAAUUCCAGCUAGAGGUCUAGCUUGAUGAAGGUCUAGCUUGAUGAGAGUAUUCAAGAAGUGGAUAAACUUAAUUCUAGAAUUCAGGAGCUUGAAGCUCAAUUAUGCGAAGAGGAGUGCAAAAGAAUUACUUCAAGAAUAAGGAAAUUUGUUAGAGUUGACAAUCAUGUCACAGUUACAAGAUGAACUGAAGAG
Long non-coding RNA from Vigna umbellata (rice bean), 767 nucleotides. RefSeq lists it as uncharacterized. Lineage: Eukaryota; Viridiplantae; Streptophyta; Magnoliopsida; Fabales; Fabaceae. The record is from RefSeq and is a predicted model, not a curated record.